UGGGGAAUCUUGGACAAUGGGGGCAACCCUGAUCCAGCCAUGCCGCGUGAGCGAUGAAGGCCUUAGGGUUGUAAAGCUCUUUCAGCGAGGAAGAUAAUGACGGUACUCGCAGAAGAAGCCCCGGCUAACUCCGUGCCAGCAGCCGCGGUAAUACGGAGGGGGCUAGCGUUGUUCGGAAUUACUGGGCGUAAAGCGCACGUAGGCGGAUCAGUUAGUCGGGGGUGAAAUCCCGGGGCUCAACCCCGGAACUGCCUUCGAUACUGCUGGUCUGGAGGUCGAGAGAGGUGAGUGGAAUUCCGAGUGUAGAGGUGAAAUUCGUAGAUAUUCGGAGGAACACCAGUGGCGAAGGCGGCUCACUGGCUCGAUACUGACGCUGAGGUGCGAAAGCGUGGGGAGCAAACAGG
This 404-nucleotide ribosomal RNA is filed under the name uncultured bacterium. Its description in RNAcentral is "bacterial SSU rRNA". It matches the Rfam family "Bacterial small subunit ribosomal RNA", at positions 355 to 776 of the family's 1533-position model. The record is from RNAcentral.